RNAcentral lists this ribosomal RNA (402 nucleotides) under uncultured Capnocytophaga sp. Its description in RNAcentral is "bacterial SSU rRNA". It matches the Rfam family "Bacterial small subunit ribosomal RNA", at positions 338 to 732 of the family's 1533-position model. The record is from RNAcentral. Lineage: Bacteria; Pseudomonadati; Bacteroidota; Flavobacteriia; Flavobacteriales; Flavobacteriaceae.
CCUACGGGGGGCAGCAGUAGGGAAUCUUCCGCAAUGGACGAAAGUCUGACGGAGCAACGCCGCGUGAGUGAAGAAGGAUUUCGGUUCGUAAAACUCUGUUGUUAGGGAAGAAAAAAUGUAUAGUAACUAUAUACAAAAGAGACGGUACCUAACCAGAAAGUCACGGCUAACUACGUGCCAGCAGCCGCGGUAAUACGUAGGUGGCAAGCGUUGUCCGGAAUUAUUGGGCGUAAAGCGCGCGCAGGUGGUUUAGAAAGUCUGAUGUGAAAGCCCACGGCUCAACCGUGGAGGGUCAUUGGAAACUAAUAAACUUGAGUGCAGGAGAGAAAAGUGGAAUUCCUAGUGUAGCGGUGAAAUGCGUAGAGAUUAGGAGGAACACCGGUGGCGAAAGCGGCUUUUUGG